Molecule: ribosomal RNA, 939 nt
Filed under: uncultured bacterium
Lineage: Bacteria
Description: bacterial SSU rRNA
Rfam family: Bacterial small subunit ribosomal RNA
Source: RNAcentral
GAACGCUGGCGGAAUGCUUUACACAUGCAAGUCGAACGGCAGCACGGACUUCGGUCUGGUGGCGAGUGGCGAACGGGUGAGUAAUAUAUCGGAACGUGCCCAGUCGUGGGGGAUAACGUAGUGAAAAUUACGCUAAUACCGCAUACGAUCUAAGGAUGAAAGCGGGGGAUCGCAAGACCUCGCGCGACUGGAGCGGCCGAUAUCAGAUUAGGUAGUUGGUAGGGUAAAGGCCUACCAAGCCAACGAUCUGUAGCUGGUCUGAGAGGACGACCAGCCACACUGGAACUGAGACACGGUCCAGACUCCUACGGGAGGCAGCAGUGGGGAAUUUUGGACAAUGGGCGAAAGCCUGAUCCAGCCAUUCCGCGUGCAGGAUGAAGGCCCUCGGGUUGUAAACUGCUUUUGUACAGAACGAAAAGGUUUCUACUAAUACUAGGAGCUCAUGACGGUACUGUAAGAAUAAGCACCGGCUAACUACGUGCCAGCAGCCGCGGUAAUACGUAGGGUGCAAGCGUUAAUCGGAAUUACUGGGCGUAAAGCGUGCGCAGGCGGUUAUAUAAGUCAGAUGUGAAAUCCCCGGGCUCAACCUGGGAACUGCAUUUGAGACUGUAUAGCUAGAGUACGGUAGAGGGGGAUGGAAUUCCGCGUGUAGCAGUGAAAUGCGUAGAUAUGCGGAGGAACACCGAUGGCGAAGGCAAUCCCCUGGACCUGUACUGACGCUCAUGCACGAAAGCGUGGGGAGCAAACAGGAUUAGAUACCCUGGUAGUCCACGCCCUAAACGAUGUCAACUGGUUGUUGGGUCUUAACUGACUCAGUAACGAAGCUAACGCGUGAAGUUGACCGCCUGGGGAGUACGGCCGCAAGGUUGAACUUAAAGGAAUUGACGGGGACCCGCACAAGCGGUGGAUGAUGUGGUUUAAUUCGAUGCAACGCGAAAA